This is a long non-coding RNA of Cavia porcellus (domestic guinea pig), 5813 nucleotides long. RefSeq lists it as uncharacterized. The record is from RefSeq and is a predicted model, not a curated record. The transcript has 7 exons. NCBI's taxonomy places the organism in Eukaryota, Metazoa, Chordata, Mammalia, Rodentia, Caviidae.
GUUACCUGGAGCGCCGGGCGCGCAGGCACAGGAAGAGCAGCAGCAGCGCGGCGGCCAGGGCGAGGCCGGGGAGGCCGAAGGGGCCCAUCCUCGAGGACGCGUCUCCCGCCGUCGAAAAUAUUGAUGGUGAUGCACAUAAAGGAAGAGAUACAGAAGCAAAAUGAAAAAAAAAAAAAAAAAACAAAUCCAUUGGUGUCUUCAAAUGAGUGAACUAUGAAAGCGAGGUCAUACUACGGAGCCGCAUGCCACCAGUCCAGCUGGGAUGAAGAGGACAAAGAGGAUUACUCUGGGUAAAGAGAAAAACCAAGCAGCAUGCUCUUAUGGAGUGGCAAUGGAGAAAUUAAUGGACAUGCACCCAUAUGGCUUCAAUCUUAAUUGAGACCACCACUGGGAAAAUUUGUGAAGGAAAAAGAGAAGAUAAGAAGAUGACACAUACUUUGUUUCAUCUAACCCUCAAAACAAACCCCUGGAGUUUCUGCUUUGAUUCUUGACUUUUCUUGGCCCUUGGAUAUCACAAAGAAUUCCACAGUGAAUCUGUCUGGACCUGGGCUCUUCUUUGUAGACAACCUGACUAAUAAAGCAACUUUGGCGAUCAAUGAAAAGGACCCUGCUUCAUAUGCCACUUGAGGGUAAAACUCCAGUUUCCCCCCUGCUCUCCAUUCACUUCUGAAAAGCAGGGAUGGUUUGCUACAGCUGGUAAGCAUGGGAGUCCUAGUUCCCCUUGAACACCCACUAAAACCUUCCUGGUUGAGAAGGGUAAAAGUGCCUGGUUACUGGUCUCCCAUGACCCCCUGAAACCUGGAAUUUAGGGUAGUAUUCCUGAUGUGGUCUUCCCAAUCACUCAGGAAGGGAAGGACCCAUUGUCUACUGAGGAUGAGCAUUCUGACUCCUUCCUCCACCUUUUCUGAUACCAGCCUUCUGGCAACAUUCAUGCACCUUGCAGGAGCCUGGCAAGUGCGUAAGCGCUCACUUUUCUCUCAGUCUCUGGUGACACAGAGUUGGCUUGAGUCACAGUUUUUCUGGGUUAUUUGGCUGGGUAGAAUGAUUAUUACAUAAAGGUGUCCUGUUUUUGUAAUCUGUCUCUUUCCUGAUCCUUUUACUACCAAAAGAAGGCUUUUGUUUUGAGUUUUAUUUUACUCUUUCUCAUCUGUUUUUCCUGUCUUCCUUACCUCCCUCUCAUCUUUCCCCAUCGCUUUUUCUUCGUUCUUCUCACUCUGUGUAACUCCUCCUCCCAGAGAUAGUUUGCUUUUACAGCUUCUGUCCUUAAAUUUCAGUCUCCGGAUUCAUCGAUCUUCAGACCACAGGGUUUAUACCAGCUGCACUUGGAGCUUUUAGGCUUUUGGUCUUAGAUUUAGGUUGCAUUAUUCAUUUCUCUGCUGUUAGGCUUCUGCUUUCUUUAUGGUUAAUUUUACUGACCUCCUUAUCCCUGUAUCUUGCAUCUGACCAUAGUGAUUUUGAGCCUUUGUGAUUAUGUGAUCUAACAAUUCCUCUCUAAUAUGUAUAUUCUAUUUGUUCUCACUGUAGAAGUCUAUUUAUACAUAAUUGUUUCAUGUAUUAUGCCUGAGUCUUUAGUUGUAUUUAGCAGGAAAAAGAGGAACGUAUGACUACCUCAUUUUCUUGCAAAUGGAAAUUUUGCUAUAGGAUUUUACUUUUACUUUUUAAAACGUUUAAUAGGUAUAUUGGUGAAAUGUGUUGCUUUUUAUUUAGCGUUGUUUUAAUAAUACUACAAUGAAACUAUCCCUAAAUUUAGGACCUCAAAAAUCUCACAUCUUCAGAUUGGCUAUAUAUUACUUGACCAAAGCUAAUUUCCAGAUUAUAAACUCUCAUGUGCUAUUUGCGAUACUGUUGAAAACACAUGUCUCUCCUCUUCUUGCAGCAGUAGAUCUUGGGAUAUAUGGAGUGUUUAAUGUGUGUCAUUGAGAAGAUCAGCUGAAAGAGUAGACACUAGCUGAAGGUACAUUCAUUCCAUCUCAUCAGAGCCCACAAGACAUACAAGGCCUCUGAUUAUAUCUUGUUUACUGACAUUUCAUUGAAGCAAAAGACUCACAUGGUCAAAUCCAAUAUCAGUGAAAUAUCGGGUAUCUCCCUGCAUGCAGUGGAAAGUGGGGAGUUGUGAUUUAUAGACAGUAAUACAAAGUGUCACUUUAUAACCUUGUCCCAAUGAUAAAAGGAAAGAAAAUUAGCUCAUAUACACUUUACAAAUGUAUCAGGAUCUUUUCUGGUUUUUUAUUAACCUUGUUUAAAAUACUUGACAAGUCUCCUCAUCUUUGCACCUGAAUUGACCACUUACCGGCUAUUUUCUGACCUUUCCUCUCCUAUUUAGUUUCAAAACAUCUUCUUCAAGUUUUGCUGCCUCCAGUUCAGUGAAAGCACCUUUUUUCCUACCUUUCUAUGCAACCAAAUAAAAAAACUUAUUUCUUGGUGACCGUAAGAGUGUGUACAGGUGUAUUUACCCAUUAUCCCUAUAGCAGUACCACCUUUCUAAACUUCCAUUUUUUACUUUAACUGUUAUGGAAAUACUGUGAUCAGGAUGUUCUACUGUAAAGAACAUCCACAUGUUUGGGUUGAAAAGUUUGGAGAUGUGAGGAAGUGUACUUUGUUUUCAGUGUGAAUGUGUUUUGUUGGAAUAUGUUUAUAUGAUGCUAAAAAGAAUCCUAGAAUCCUUAUAUCAAAAUUUUCUUUUUCUUGUGCUCUUGCACAUUUCCUGUAUUGCUGUUCAUUUAACCCUACAUAUUUAAAAGAUUUUCUCUAAUUUGAGAUUUUAUAAAACUUACAACAUCAAAAAGUUACAGGAAAGCACAACACUUGGUAUUUACCUCUUGUUUUUCAUAGAUUGUUUUCAAGGGGCCAGUCAGGAGUCCUUCCAAGGUUAUCUCUCCUGGGCUACAGUGGACUGAUAAUACUGAUCUUACUAGACUGUAAAGAAGGUUGCAUGAAAUGAUUCAUUUUUAAAAAUAAAUUUUUAUCUUUUAUCAAGUGUUUGUUGUAUAUAUUACUAAGAUUCAGUACGAUAUUUCCAUGCCUGCAUACAAUGCCAAUCACUCUAUCCUUAAACCUAUACCUAUACCUUUUAGAAUCUGGUAAUCACUAUUGUACUUUCAGGUUAAUUUUUUAAAGUUUCCAUGUAUGAGAUAGAACAUGUAGUGUUUGUCUUUUUCUAUCCAGUGUAUAUCACAUAACGUAAUGUCCAUCAUUUCUAUCCAUUUUGUGCAAAUCACUUUUUAUGGUUGAAUAACAGUGUGCUGUGUGUGUAUAUAUACUAGACUCCAUAUAUAGUAUUAUAUAAUUUUUAUAUAUUUUUAUAUGUAGAAUGCACAGUAUUUUAUUUAUCUGUUCAUUUGUUGAUUAGUACCUAGGUUGACUCCAGAUCUUAGAUAUUGUAAAUAGUACUGUUAUGAAUAUAUAGGUCUCUCCUUGGUAUGCUGAUUGAUUGCUGGAUCAUAUGGUAAUUUUAUUUUAUUUGAGAGUUUUUACUUAUUUGCUUGUUUUUUUAGAAAUCUUCAUAUUGUUCUCCAUAAUAUUUAUGCUAAUUUAUAUUCCCACCAUCGAUGUACAGUAUAAUAAUUCCUUUUUCUCCACAUACGGACUAAAACAAGACAUUGCUUUGUCAUUUUGUUUUUCAUUUCCGGAAUGUCUAAGAAUACUGAAUGUAUUUUCAUAUAUUUGGCCAUUUGUAUUCUAUCAGUAAGUGACUAUUUAGAUCAUUUCUCCAUUUAGUUUUAUUACUUUAUAUAAUUGUUCAGAGCUUUUUGUUCUGUAUGUAUUCUGUAUAUUAAUUCUGCCAGAUGAAUAGCUGCCAAGUAUUUUCUCCCAUUUUGUACACUGAUUCAUCAUUCUGUUGUUUCUGUUGCUGUACAGAAGCUUUUUAGUGUGGUAAAUUCCACUUGUUGAAUUUUGCUUUUGUUUCUUGUGUCUUGGGGUUUAUGCUGAAAGUCAAUGCAUGUACCAAUAUCUUGGAAGGUUGCUUCUCCUUCAUUUUGAAGAAUACUGUUGCUGGUAUGCUAGUAUAUAGUAAUCUUUGUUGGAAGUUAUUGUCUUUGAAUAUUUGGACUCAUUACACACAGUAUUUACCUGGCCUGUAGUGUUUCUGCUGAGAAGUCUGUUGUUAAUUUAAUGGGACCGAGCUGAAAAUGUGACUCGGUAUUUUUUUCUUGCAGUUUUAAAAGUUGUUUCCCCUGUACUUUUGGAAGUUCGGCAAUAAUAUGCUGUGUUAAAUGUCUUUUCUUGUAAUAUGUAUUGGGGUUGUAUAAGCUUCUUAUGUUUAAAUGUAUACACUUUCUCCAAAAUUAAGGAUUUUUUCUUCUGUUGUAGGCUUUCUGUGUCCUUAAUCUUCAUUGCUUUCAGUCCUGGCAUUGGUUUGGAUGUGUUUGUGACUGGCCUUGCCCUGGGCCAUAGUCGACUAGCUCCCUGACCUUCUGUUUCUCCAUUUCCCUUGAUGUCACAGAGCCUGUCUUCUGCAGUACAGAGUGCCCAUCAGGCACUCUUCCGAUCCAAGUUCUGUUCUAGAGUCACCUUCCCUGAGUCAGUGUAGUGGAAGGUAUGUGAAGUCCCAGAGAUGGGAAUGUGAUAUAGGCGAGUUUCUGACUCCUGACAGCAGUUAUCAUCUGGAAAUGGCUCCCAGCUAUAGUACCUGUGUGUUUACUGAGAGAUACAGUAAAAUACUUUUCAAAAACAAAGCUACCAUAUACAUCUCAGGUUACUUAUCUAGGUGAGCUGCAAGCCCAUAAAUAUUGAGAGGGUUUCCGGUAUCUGGGAUUACCAGCAUCAGUGCUAAUGGUCAGCUCUAUUGCUUUUACGGGCUAAGGGAAGGCUCCCCUCCCUCAGUGGUGAAGCAAAAGUAGCAGAUGCCAAGAAAUUUUGUUUCUCUUAGUAUGUUAUUUCUCAUCUCUCUGACUCUUAUGAGGUUCCAGGUUGAUACAUAGUCUCAACUUGAGAAGUCUAGAAGCUUAACUAAAUAACUCGGUGGGGAGACAAGGUCCUCAUUUUGCAAACAUCUUGACUUAGUGAAAGAGGGCACAGAGAUGGUGUGUUGUACUCACCAUGGGUAGAUUGCACACAGUAUAAAGGAAGGAAAGAGGCUUGUUCUCCCGUUUUGCUCUUGGCUGCCUUUGCUGUUUUCCGCUGCCUUGAACUGUUGCUCCUCACCUUGCCAGCCUUCCUUGGAAUCAGCUGAUGACAAACUGAAACCUUCACAAAUGUGAAGUAAGUAAACCUUUCUUUCCUUAAUUUUGGGCAUUGAAUAUAGAGAAAAGUAACUGAGACAGUCACUCACAUCAAAAUGUGGUUAUACACUUGCUACAUUGGUUCUUUGUGAAGGAAGUGAGUGUUUGAGACCUCUGUUUUGCCAUCUUUAAUAGUGUCAAUGUGAUGAAUUUUAAAUUCCUCUUGAACAAUUCCGUGUUCUCCCAGUUUUUCAAAUAUACAAAUUGAACUGAAGGGGAAAUGAUAAUUUUCUAUAUUUAUUCUUAUGCUAAGUUCUGAUCAAAUACAUUGGGAAAAAAUGAAGAUCAUUAAACAGCUGGAAUGAUUUACUUUUUGCAUUUAUUGGUUGAAGUGAUUUCCAUUUAUUGGUUGAAGUUCAUGAAGUUGGAUCUUCCUUGGGUCUAUUUGUUGUAUUGUACCAAACAUUUCAUUAGGCGUUGAUUAAAGGGUAAUAUUUCCAGCACCCAUUUGUCUAGCCAUAAGCCUUGGUUUCAUCUCCUUUGUAUGCUUUUAAGAUGGGAAUUAUGCAUUUUUAUACAUUACAAUGGACUCACAACUCACAGUAAAAACAAAUUUUUUACUGUGAAGAUGGAAACCAUUUCAUAAUUGUU